RNAcentral lists this unclassified non-coding RNA (332 nucleotides) under Hevea brasiliensis (rubber tree). Lineage: Eukaryota; Viridiplantae; Streptophyta; Magnoliopsida; Malpighiales; Euphorbiaceae. The record is from RNAcentral.
UUUUUUUUUUUUUGAAAGGAAAACUAAAACAUAAGGGGAUGCAUUCUGAAAACAAAAUCAUUCUGAAUGUGCAUGACCUCCUGUAAAUGGCAAUGCCUGGUGUGUAAAGGAAGAGGAACUAUGUCUUUGGUAACAAACGAGGAACAAACUUGGUUCUCUGGUUAAUUUACAAGGUCGAUCGUUGGUGCUUUAUAAGGCAGCAUGUUAUUGAAACAUUAGAUCCCUGUUUUAUCAUUUUCACUUUUUUUUUCUUUUGGCUUCCGAUUUUAGUUCGGCAGCAUUGUGGACAAAUUUUUUUUUUACCUGUCAUUGACAAAAAGCCACAAAAUGCA